CCUACGGGGGGCUGCAGUGAGGAAUAUUGGUCAAUGGACGGAAGUCUGAACCAGCCAUGCCGCGUGCAGGAAGACGGCUCUAUGAGUUGUAAACUGCUUUUGUACAAGGGUAAACCUGAAUACGUGUAUUCAGCUGAAAGUACUUUACGAAUAAGGAUCGGCUAACUCCGUGCCAGCAGCCGCGGUAAUACGGAGGAUACAAGCGUUAUCCGGAUUUAUUGGGUGUACAGGGUGCGUAGGCGGAGUGAUAAGUUAGGUGUGAAAUGUCCGGGCUUAACCCGGGAACUGCCUCUAAUACUGUUGAUCUAGAGAGUAGAUGCGGUAGGAGGAAUGUAUGGUGUAGCGGUGAAAUGCUUAGAGAUCAUACAGAACACCGAUUGCGAAGGCAGCUUACCA
This 396-nucleotide ribosomal RNA is filed under the name uncultured bacterium. RNAcentral's name for it is "partial 16S ribosomal RNA". It matches the Rfam family "Bacterial small subunit ribosomal RNA", at positions 338 to 731 of the family's 1533-position model. The record is from RNAcentral.